UACGAAGGGGGCUAGCGUUGCUCGGAAUCACUGGGCGUAAAGCGCACGUAGGCGGAUCUUUAAGUCAGGGGUGAAAUCCUGGAGCUCAACUCCAGAACUGCCUUUGAUACUGGGGAUCUCGAGUCCGGGAGAGGUGAGUGGAACUCCGAGUGUAGAGGUGAAAUUCGUAGAUAUUCGGAGGAACACCUGCGGCGAAGGCGGCCUUCUGGACGAUGACUGACGCUGAGACGCGAAAGCGUGGGGAGCAAACAGG
RNAcentral lists this ribosomal RNA (253 nucleotides) under uncultured bacterium. RNAcentral's name for it is "partial 16S ribosomal RNA". It matches the Rfam family "Bacterial small subunit ribosomal RNA", at positions 524 to 776 of the family's 1533-position model. The record is from RNAcentral.